Molecule: long non-coding RNA, 1454 nt
Organism: Cyprinus carpio carpio
Lineage: Eukaryota; Metazoa; Chordata; Actinopteri; Cypriniformes; Cyprinidae
Source: Ensembl
AGCUCAGGGUGCAGAAGAGCGCUCAUGGCCUGCUGGGAGAGGGGAAAUAAUUGUUCAUUAACCUUUGAACUCGAGAAGGCGUCAAUUCAGAGGGAUCUUAGACACUUCUAGAGACCGGAAUAUCAAAGAAACUUGAGGAUGGGCUCUUUUGACAACGGCAGUGCACACUGGGCGAAGAGGAGGAGGGAUAAUUAUUAUGCCAUUUCUCCACACCUUAACACAGGCUGCUGGGCGGAGGCCAAUCUCAGAGAUGCUCUAACGUGAGGCUGCAUGACAGUGUAAAUUACAUUAGGCCUUCGGUAUGUGUAACAGACGUCUGAAGUUCAAACGCAGACCAGCACCGUCACUCCUACAGGUGCUGAAAUGUGAUUGGCAGAGGAGGAUCCAGGGGGAGGGUGCAGAGCCAUCAUAGAGCAAAAAAGGAAAAGAACCCCAGAAAAGAUACCGGUGUGACCCCAGGCACAGGCUGACGGACGUACAGUGAAAAAGCAGGAACUCUCAUAGAUGAAGAAGGAAUUAAAACUUGCAAAAAGAAGUAAAACAUUGAUCUUUCUACACCACAGCGCAAUCCCAACACACACAGCACUGCCAAAGAUCUCUGAUGAUGUCAUCCUCUCGCACCCAACACAGAUUGAUGCCUUCUGGAUGCAAAUCCGAAUCAUAUAAAAUAUGAGCGAGAGAGAGUUUUGCUUCUGGUGAAGAUGACAAAUGUGCUCCUUGUAUCACAGGUGACAUGCUCCGUACCUGACCUGGAAUGUCUCUGACAGGCAAACUCACUUAUUUUAUGUCAUCUAUUUUAAUAACUUGUUUUUAGGGAAUUGCCUUUGCUAGAGCAGAGGAUGCAAAUCAUCUGCUAGCAAACGCAUGUUGCUGUUAGAGGGGCUGGUAUUACACAACGUGGUAGAGGUUGUCACUACACCAUCUGUUUCUUAAAAGCACCUCACCUUUAUUUUGUCUAUGCUAUGCUAUGCUCAUAAUAUGAUGCAGUGGACUGUCUUUGAUGAAGGAUUUGCUCUUUGAGCAUUCUUGUGGUGGCAUCAACCAACCAGCACUGUAAUGAUGUAAUUUCCUGUGGCUCAGAAAUAAAUUGAAUUCAAAAAGUUCAGAGGUCUCGAGCAAAAAUAGCAACUAUUUGUAUUGCUAACAGAUAGCUUGCACCAGAUAUUAUAGACCUCUUUGAAGGCUAUAAUGGGUAGAAAGAAUACAUAUUCUAAUUUUUAGUUUUCUCUCUCAGUUCCACUACUGAGAACACUGAUAACAGCUGAGCAAUUAACAUUUAGAGUUAGCUACCUGUUAAUCUGUCAACAUUUACAGCUAGCUACCUGAAUAAUAGCAUAACCGGUUUAAUGGGAGAGACGUUUGAAGGAAACUCUAUCACCCCCUUCGAGUACUGAGGUUUGUGCUCACUAAUGUUAUGAUGCAUUUUCAUAUGCAGAAUAAGACUCUGUGCUGGC